GAUGAAGAACGUAGCGAAAUGCGAUAAGUAAUGCGAAUUGCAGAAUUCCAGUGAGUCAUCGAAUCUUUGAACGCACAUUGCGCCCGCCAGUAUUCUGGCGGGCAUGCCUGUUCGAGCGUCAUUACAACCCUCAGGCCCCCGGGCCUGGCGUUGGGGAUCGGCGGAAGCCCCCUGUGGGCACACGCCGUCCCUCAAAUACAGUGGCGGUCCCGCCGCAGCUUCCAUUGCGUAGUAGCUAACACCUCGCAACUGGAGAGCGGCGCGGCCAUGCCGUAAAACACCCAACUUCUGAAUGUUGACCUCGAAUCAGGUAGGAAUACCCGCUGAACUUAAGCAUAUCAAUAAGCGGAGGA
RNAcentral lists this unclassified non-coding RNA (353 nucleotides) under soil metagenome. Its description in RNAcentral is "partial contains 5.8S ribosomal RNA, internal transcribed spacer 2, and large subunit ribosomal RNA". The stretch from base 1 to 121 matches the Rfam family "5.8S ribosomal RNA", at positions 35 to 154 of the family's 154-position model. The record is from RNAcentral.